RNAcentral lists this ribosomal RNA (1455 nucleotides) under uncultured organism. RNAcentral's name for it is "SSU rRNA". It matches the Rfam family "Bacterial small subunit ribosomal RNA". The record is from RNAcentral.
UGGACGAACGCUGGCGGCGUGCCUAAUACAUGCAAGUAGAACGCUGAAGAGAGGAGCUUGCUCUUCUUGGAUGAGUUGCGAACGGGUGAGUAACGCGUAGGUAACCUGCCUUGUAGCGGGGGAUAACUAUUGGAAACGAUAGCUAAUACCGCAUAACAAUGGAUGACACAUGUCAUUUAUUUGAAAGGGGCAAUUGCUCCACUACAAGAUGGACCUGCGUUGUAUUAGCUAGUAGGUGAGGUAACGGCUCACCUAGGCGACGAUACAUAGCCGACCUGAGAGGGUGAUCGGCCACACUGGGACUGAGACACGGCCCAGACUCCUACGGGAGGCAGCAGUAGGGAAUCUUCGGCAAUGGGGGCAACCCUGACCGAGCAACGCCGCGUGAGUGAAGAAGGUUUUCGGAUCGUAAAGCUCUGUUGUAAGUCAAGAACGAGUGUGAGAGUGGAAAGUUCACACUGUGACGGUAGCUUACCAGAAAGGGACGGCUAACUACGUGCCAGCAGCCGCGGUAAUACGUAGGUCCCGAGCGUUGUCCGGAUUUAUUGGGCGUAAAGCGAGCGCAGGCGGUUUGAUAAGUCUGAAGUUAAAGGCUGUGGCUCAACCAUAGUUCGCUUUGGAAACUGUCAAACUUGAGUGCAGAAGGGGAGAGUGGAAUUCCAUGUGUAGCGGUGAAAUGCGUAGAUAUAUGGAGGAACACCGGUGGCGAAAGCGGCUCUCUGGUCUGUAACUGACGCUGAGGCUCGAAAGCGUGGGGAGCGAACAGGAUUAGAUACCCUGGUAGUCCACGCCGUAAACGAUGAGUGCUAGGUGUUGGAUCCUUUCCGGGAUUCAGUGCCGCAGCUAACGCAUUAAGCACUCCGCCUGGGGAGUACGACCGCAAGGUUGAAACUCAAAGGAAUUGACGGGGGCCCGCACAAGCGGUGGAGCAUGUGGUUUAAUUCGAAGCAACGCGAAGAACCUUACCAGGUCUUGACAUCCCGAUGCUAUUUCUAGAGAUAGAAAGUUACUUCGGUACAUCGGUGACAGGUGGUGCAUGGUUGUCGUCAGCUCGUGUCGUGAGAUGUUGGGUUAAGUCCCGCAACGAGCGCAACCCCUAUUGUUAGUUGCCAUCAUUCAGUUGGGCACUCUAGCGAGACUGCCGGUAAUAAACCGGAGGAAGGUGGGGAUGACGUCAAAUCAUCAUGCCCCUUAUGACCUGGGCUACACACGUGCUACAAUGGUUGGUACAACGAGUUGCGAGUCGGUGACGGCAAGCUAAUCUCUUAAAGCCAAUCUCAGUUCGGAUUGUAGGCUGCAACUCGCCUACAUGAAGUCGGAAUCGCUAGUAAUCGCGGAUCAGCACGCCGCGGUGAAUACGUUCCCGGGCCUUGUACACACCGCCCGUCACACCACGAGAGUUUGUAACACCCGAAGUCGAUGAGGUAACCUUUUGGAGCCAGCCGCCUAAGGUGG